UACGGGGGGGGCAAGCGUUGUUCGGAAUUACUGGGCGUAAAGGGCUUGUAGGUGGCCAACUAAGUCCGACGUGAAAUCCCUAGGCUUAACCUAGGAACUGCGUCGGAUACUGGAUGGCUUGAAUCCGGGAGAGGGAUGCGGAAUUCCAGGUGUAGCGGUGAAAUGCGUAGAUAUCUGGAGGAACACCGGUGGCGAAGGCGGCAUCCUGGACCAAUAUUGACGCUGAGGAGCGAAAGCCAGGGGAGCAAACGGG
This 253-nucleotide ribosomal RNA is filed under the name uncultured bacterium. RNAcentral's name for it is "partial 16S ribosomal RNA". It matches the Rfam family "Bacterial small subunit ribosomal RNA", at positions 524 to 776 of the family's 1533-position model. The record is from RNAcentral.